UACGGAGGAUCCAAGCGUUAUCCGGAUUUAUUGGGUUUAAAGGGUGCGUAGGCGGCUUUUUAAGUCAGGGGUGAAAGACGGUGGCUCAACCAUCGCAGUGCCUUUGAUACUGAAAGCUUGAAUAGACCUGAGGUAGGCGGAAUGUGACAAGUAGCGGUGAAAUGCAUAGAUAUGUCACAGAACACCAAUUGCGAAGGCAGCUUACUAAAGUCUAAUUGACGCUGAGGCACGAAAGCGUGGGGAUCAAACAGG
This 252-nucleotide ribosomal RNA is filed under the name uncultured bacterium. Its description in RNAcentral is "partial 16S ribosomal RNA". It matches the Rfam family "Bacterial small subunit ribosomal RNA", at positions 524 to 776 of the family's 1533-position model. The record is from RNAcentral.